RNAcentral lists this ribosomal RNA (482 nucleotides) under uncultured bacterium. RNAcentral's name for it is "partial 16S ribosomal RNA". It matches the Rfam family "Bacterial small subunit ribosomal RNA", at positions 28 to 523 of the family's 1533-position model. The record is from RNAcentral.
GACGAACGCUGGCGGCGUGCUUAACACAUGCAAGUCGAACGAUGAAAAAGAGCUUGCUCUUCGGAUUAGUGGCGAACGGGUGAGUAACACGUGACUAACCUGCCCCUUUCUCUGGGAUAACGCUCCGAAAGGAGUGCUAAUACCGGAUACUCACAUCGAGGCACAUGCCUUGAUGUGGAAAGUUUUUCGGAAAGGGAUGGAGUCGCGGCCUAUCAGCUUGUUGGUGAGGUAACGGCUCACCAAGGCGACGACGGGUAGCCGGCCUGAGAGGGCGACCGGCCACACUGGGACUGAGACACGGCCCAGACUCCUACGGGAGGCAGCAGUGGGGAAUAUUGCACAAUGGGCGAAAGCCUGAUGCAGCGACGCCGCGUGAGGGAUGAAGGUCUUCGGAUUGUAAACCUCUUUCAGUAGGGACGAAGCGAAAGUGACGGUACCUAAAGAAGAAGCACCGGCUAACUACGUGCCAGCCGCCGCAGUAA